Saimiri boliviensis boliviensis (Bolivian squirrel monkey) is the source of this 112-nucleotide small nuclear RNA. The record is from Ensembl. Lineage: Eukaryota; Metazoa; Chordata; Mammalia; Primates; Cebidae.
GCGCUCGCUUCGGCAGCACAUAUACUAAAAUUGGAACGAUACAGAGAAGAUUAGCAUGGCCCCUGCGCAAGGACUGAUUCUUAAGUGCUUAGAUCAGGCGUCCCCAAACUAU